GCGGAGGAAAAGAAACCAACAGGGAUUGCCUUAGUAACGGCGAGUGAAGCGGCAACAGCUCAAAUUUGAAAUCUGGCCCUCGGGUCCGAAUUGUAAUUUGUAGAGGAUGAUUUUGGUGCGGUAUCUUCCGAGUUCCUUGGAACAGGACGCCUUAGAGGGUGAGAGCCCCGUACGGUUGAAUGCCUAGCCUCUGUAAAUCUCCUUCGACGAGUCGAGUAGUUUGGGAAUGCUGCUCUAAAUGGGAGGUAAAUUUCUUCUAAAGCUAAAUAUUGGCCAGAGACCGAUAGCGCACAAGUAGAGUGAUCGAAAGAUGAAAAGCACUUUGAAAAGAGGGUUAAAUAGCACGUGAAAUUGUUGAAAGGGAAGGAUUUGUGACCAGACUUUUUCUGGGCGGAUCAUCCGGGGUUCUCUCCGGUGCACUUUGCCCAGUAAAGGCCAGCAUCGAUUUUCGGCGGCGGAUAAAAGCAGUGGGAAUGUGGCUCCCUACGGGGAGUGUUAUAGCCCAUUGUAUAAUACGCUGCUGGGGAUCGAGGUACGCGCUUCUGCAAGGAUGCUGGCGUAAUGGUUAUCAAUCACCCGUCUUGAAACACGGACCAAGGAGUCGAACAUUUAUGCGAGUGUUUGGGUGUUAAACCCUCACGCGUAAUGAAAGUGAACGGAGGUGAGAGCCCGUACGGGUGCAUCAUCGACCGAUCCUGAAGUUUUCGGAUGGAUUUGAGUAAGAGCAUAACUGUUCGGACCCGAAAGAUGGUGAACUAUGCGUGGAUAGGGUGAAGCCAGAGGAAACUCUGGUGGAGGCUCGCAGCGGUUCUGACGUGCAAAUCGAUCGUCAAAUCUGCGCAUGGGGGCGAAAGACUAAUCGAACCAUCUAGUAGCU
This 877-nucleotide ribosomal RNA is filed under the name Pestalotiopsis knightiae. Its description in RNAcentral is "LSU rRNA". It matches the Rfam family "Eukaryotic large subunit ribosomal RNA", at positions 50 to 952 of the family's 3401-position model. Lineage: Eukaryota; Fungi; Ascomycota; Sordariomycetes; Amphisphaeriales; Sporocadaceae. The record is from RNAcentral.